RNAcentral lists this ribosomal RNA (200 nucleotides) under uncultured bacterium. RNAcentral describes it as "partial 16S ribosomal RNA". It matches the Rfam family "Bacterial small subunit ribosomal RNA", at positions 30 to 238 of the family's 1533-position model. The record is from RNAcentral.
AUUGAACGCUGGCGGCAGGCCUAACACAUGCAAGUCGAGCGAACCUAGCUUGCUAGGUGAGCGGCGAACGGGUGAGUAACGCGUAGGAAUCUGCCUGGUAGUGGGGGACAACGUUCCGAAAGGAACGCUAAUACCGCAUACGCCCUACGGGGGAAAGUGGGGGAUCUUCGGACCUCACGCUACCAGAGGAGCCUGCGUCG